This 719-nucleotide ribosomal RNA is filed under the name uncultured bacterium. RNAcentral's name for it is "bacterial SSU rRNA". It matches the Rfam family "Bacterial small subunit ribosomal RNA", at positions 9 to 774 of the family's 1533-position model. The record is from RNAcentral.
GAGUUUGAUCCUGGCUCAGAGCGAACGCUGGCGGCAGGCCUAACACAUGCAAGUCGAGCGCCGUAGCAAUACGGAGCGGCAGACGGGAGAGUAACACGUGGGAACGUGCCCUUCAGUUCGGAACAACCCAGGGAAACUUGGGCUAAUACCGGAUACGUCCGUAAGGAGAAAGAUUUAUCGCUGAAGGAUCGGCCCGCGUCUGAUUAGCUAGUUGGUGGGGUAAUGGCCCACCAAGGCGACGAUCAGUAGCUGGUCUGAGAGGAUGAUCAGCCUCACUGGGACUGAGACACGGCCCAGACUCCUACGGGAGGCAGCAGUGGGGAAUAUUGGACAAUGGGCGCAAGCCUGAUCCAGCCAUGCCGCGUGGGUGAUGAAGGCCCUAGGGUUGUAAAGCCCUUUCGGCGGGGAAGAUAAUGACGGUACCCGCAGAAGAAGCCCCGGCUAACUUCGUGCCAGCAGCCGCGGUAAUACGAAGGGGGCUAGCGUUGCUCGGAAUCACUGGGCGUAAAGCGCACGUAGGCGGCUUUUUAAGUCAGGGGUGAAAUCCUGGAGCUCAACUCCAGAACUGCCUUUGAUACUGAGAGGCUUGAGUCCGGGAGAGGUGAGUGGAACUGCGAGUGUAGAGGUGAAAUUCGUAGAUAUUCGCAAGAACACCAGUGGCGAAGGCGGCUCACUGGCCCGGUACUGACGCUGAGGUGCGAAAGCGUGGGGAGCAAACA